AGCUCCAGCUCUUUGCCCUUUCCAAUUCCCCAGGCUCUGUUCUACUGGAACGGUUUUCUUCUCAGCUAAACUCUUCUUUCACCCCCACACCAUUGCAGCUGCUUAAAGGUUUCCAGCCCGUUCCACAUCUUGGCAGAUUAUUCUACUGUAAGGCUUAUAGAGGCAGAGGAAUCACCAAGUCUGGAAUGGAUGCAGGGCCCAAGUUUUGGGGACCGGGAGGC
RNAcentral lists this long non-coding RNA (221 nucleotides) under Capra hircus (goat). Its description in RNAcentral is "lncRNA (ENSCHIG00010002846.1)". The record is from RNAcentral. Lineage: Eukaryota; Metazoa; Chordata; Mammalia; Artiodactyla; Bovidae.